This 84-nucleotide transfer RNA is filed under the name Echinostoma caproni. It matches the Rfam family "tRNA". From Rfam's summary of the family: Transfer RNA (tRNA) molecules are approximately 80 nucleotides in length. Their secondary structure includes four short double-helical elements and three loops (D, anti-codon, and T loops). The record is from Rfam by way of RNAcentral. Lineage: Eukaryota; Metazoa; Platyhelminthes; Trematoda; Plagiorchiida; Echinostomatidae.
GGCCUCGUAGCUCAUCUUGUAGAGCAUUUACUGUACAAACGCAUAGGCGGCGUCCAUGUGUGGGUUCGAUUCCCACCGGGGUCA